UGGUUAUGGAGAAGCCUAGUCCCC
RNAcentral lists this non-coding RNA (24 nucleotides) under Rattus norvegicus (Norway rat). The record is from RNAcentral. Lineage: Eukaryota; Metazoa; Chordata; Mammalia; Rodentia; Muridae.